This 23-nucleotide small nuclear RNA is filed under the name Arabidopsis thaliana (thale cress). Its description in RNAcentral is "snRNA_12403". Lineage: Eukaryota; Viridiplantae; Streptophyta; Magnoliopsida; Brassicales; Brassicaceae. The record is from RNAcentral.
UUAUCCGCGGACAAAACUGGUCA